AUAGUUGUUAACAUCCUGAAGAAUAGAUGCUAUUAUUCUUAUUUACCCUGCAACCGUCACCACCAAGCAAUGGAUUUUUACAUACAAAAUUGAAUUAACUGUAAAGUAAAGGAUUUUAUUCACAUCAGAUUUAUAUUCCCGUGAGUGACAGCACGUUUUAUUU
Molecule: long non-coding RNA, 163 nt
Organism: Ochotona curzoniae (black-lipped pika)
Lineage: Eukaryota; Metazoa; Chordata; Mammalia; Lagomorpha; Ochotonidae
Exons: 3
Source: RefSeq, a predicted model, not a curated record